ACUUGGAGGAGGCCACUGGC
RNAcentral lists this microRNA (20 nucleotides) under Chlamydomonas reinhardtii. RNAcentral describes it as "cre-miR1158". The record is from miRBase by way of RNAcentral. Lineage: Eukaryota; Viridiplantae; Chlorophyta; Chlorophyceae; Chlamydomonadales; Chlamydomonadaceae.